GUCUACAGCCUUACCAACCUGAAUAUGCUGGAUCUGGUCUGAUCUCCGAAGCUAAGCAGUGUUGGGCCUGGUUAGUACUUGGAUGGGAGAAAUGACUACCAGGUUGCUGGAUAUA
Molecule: ribosomal RNA, 115 nt
Organism: Cricetulus griseus (Chinese hamster)
Lineage: Eukaryota; Metazoa; Chordata; Mammalia; Rodentia; Cricetidae
Source: Ensembl